This 450-nucleotide ribosomal RNA is filed under the name uncultured bacterium. RNAcentral's name for it is "bacterial SSU rRNA". It matches the Rfam family "Bacterial small subunit ribosomal RNA", at positions 335 to 803 of the family's 1533-position model. The record is from RNAcentral.
ACUCCUACGGGAGGCAGCAGUGGGGAAUAUUGGACAAUGGACCACAACUCUGAUCCAGCAAUUCUGUGUGCACGAUGACGUUUUCGGAAUGUAAAGUGCUUUCAGUCGGGAAGAAGCAAGUGACGGUACCGACAGAAGAAGCGACGGCUAAAUACGUGCCAGCAGCCGCGGUAAUACGUAUGUCGCAAGCGUUAUCCGGAUUUAUUGGGGCGUAAAGCGCGUCUAGGCGGCGAGGAAAGUCUGAUGUGAAAAUGCGGGGCUCAACCCCGUAUUGCGUUGGAAACUGCCUUGCUAGAGUACUGGAGAGGUAGGCGGAACUACAAGUGUAGAGGUGAAAUUCGUAGAUAUUUGUAGGAAUGCCGAUGGGGAAGCCAGCCUACUGGACAGAUACUGACGCUAAAGCGCGAAAGCGUGGUAGCAAACAGGAUUAGAUACCCUGGUAGCGACUGA